UUCAGCUUCAAAAACUUAUUUUAUUCAUUCCUUAAAAUACGAUUUGAUUACCGCAAUGCAUUAUUCUAGUUUUUUUUUCUUCUCUUGUCCGUGUAAAGUAACAUAAAUAUACUCAAUACACCUUAAAGCUAGAGCAUGAUGCAUAUUUUGUUUUUAGAUUGUAAAACUCUCACUGGUCAAACCACCACUAUUUUUGUUUUGUCGGCCCUAAAAAAUGCAGCAACGCUGUAUGCAAUAUAUAAAAUACCGUUAAAAUGUGGUUACUAAAUUGAUAUUACUUGCUCAAUGAGUCUUCGUUGGUCUUAUAUGUUAUGUUUACUAAGUACAAAUACUUUACAUGAAGCAAAAUCACUCUUUUCUUUUGCAAUAAGCAGCUAAAAAUUUGUUCUCGCACUUUUGUAUUUAUAAAUAAGUCUCUGCCGCUCUAUAGUCUUCACUGUUUUUAUUUUCUGCUAAUAACUUACUUAAAGCGAAAAAGUCUUAUGCGUAAGUAGAUCACGUUGUAGAUGUUUGAAGCUGCUGCCGCAAAUGUAUGCCUAAGUAGCAGUUUAAUACUUGCUCUCUCAAAUGCUUAAUGUGCAUAUUGUUUAACCUCAUUCCUUACGCUAUAUCAUAUCAAAGCAUGUACGGUUCGGUUUCGGGCAAAGGAAACUGUUUUAAAGCAUUUUUAACCUAUAUUUCGAACGCUUUGUCAGUGCUGAGAUGAUUUUUCUUUAUCGUCGAGACAGAACGAAUUAUUAAAAAUAAAAUUAUAAACUUUAUUUCAGCUCGACCUACAGCAGCUUCUCGGCUCGCUCAUUGCUCAUUUUUAAUGUUUGCUUUCCUUUGCCUUUAUCUUUGCCAGCCCAGACUGCCUCCAUGCAGAGCUAAUGUUCGUUUUCUCCACUACCGUUUUGGAUUCUGCCGAGAUUUUCUCGGAUGAGUAUAAAUAAAACCGUUUGUUUAUUGUGCAUUUCAUUAGCAUAACUUGACUUGUUUGAUUCUGGGCUUCGUUUUCGCUUGCCUUCUUCCUACUGUUUUGUGUAUGUACAAAUAGAGUCUUGAAUAGGUUGGAAUUUUGUUGUUGCGUCUCUUACAUCGCCCAGUUGGCGGACACGUGGCCCGUAAAGAACCUCGAAUUGUGCACCUUGAACACAGCGCUUGUAACUAUCUUUGACGGCAGGUUUAUUUCCUAUGCACAUAAAAUGAGUUGAGUAUAGUUUGUUUGCUUUUUAAAAUGGAAUAUUUUUACAUUAGUGAGUAUUUAUAAAGUCAUGAGGAGAUUCAAAUACAGAGAUUAGUUUGAUUUAAAGUAAAGUACGAUCACGCAUUAUCUAAGUGUUACAGCUAUUUAAUACAGUCUUGGUCAUAUAGUACGGUGACAUCAUGCCACAAGUUCCGAAGACGAACAAAUUGAAACAAAGUUACGAGAAAAUGGGCUCAAAAGUGGAACAUUAUUCGCCCAAUUAUGGACCGCAAAUCACGUGGUCGUCGGAGAUCGAGCGGGUUGGAUAAUCCCCUCCGGCAGGCCCGACACAUCCAAUUGUCGAUCUUUGGGUUGUGAUAAACUUUCGAAAAGCCAUUAAGAGCCGGCUACUGGCGAAGAUUGUUUGAAUUCCGGGACAAAGUUGUUUGUGCGCAAGAUGAGCGCCAAUUAUUACGGCUGCUUCUUUGCGUGUGAGCAGGAACAAUACGUUUGACAUUAUGAGAAACGAAAAAAAAUCAUCCAUCUAGCAGUGUGAGAUUUAUCGUUAAAUAUUAAUGGUUUAUUAUUGUUGAAAUAUAGUUUUUCAAUAUAUAAGUUACGGCCUGGCACCCCUAGCCGUAUUGCACCAACACUUGCAGACUUGUCAUACUAAGCAUUCUUUCUGAAAUAAUAAAUCAGUCAGUCAAGUUUCAUCCUUCAACCAGUGCAGUGCUGAAGUUAAUCGUCCGAACCUCCCCACGGGCCGGGAAGCAGCCAACAUGGCCCGCUUCCCGGGAACCCCGUACAUAACUGGCGCAGUCGGUCGUCUCGGUGGAUUACCGAGACUUAAGAGAAUCAGGAUGAUAAUCACGAGCCGAAACCGAGGACUGGCAGGCAAACAGCAUCGAAAAAAAAAAAAUCAAUAGCAUCUUCAUUCCUUCUUUUAUUUGAUAUUUCUAACGCUUUUUACUUUUAGACUUCCACCAUAUUCACUCAACACCCGCUUGGUAACCACGUCUAGGGAAAGCAGCAGACGUGCAAAACAACCAGGCUAAUUUCUCCCCAAUGAACCUAACCAGCGUUGGAGAGGUAGUAAUGGAUAUGAAGAAUGAGUUGUAAUUGUAAAAUUCGUAAUCAUUGUGGCGUUAACGAAAAGAACAAAAAAAAAAGGGUUUUAUGCCGUGAUUGAGGAGAGAGCAGACAUAGCUCAACCUCAACCCAAGUGCUUUUGUCCCUUCCAAAAGCCUUAGCCUGCAAAAAUUCUGAUGGAUGCUACUAAGAAACUGUACACCGAAUAUCGCUGUUAGAAUUAAGUUUGGUAGGACAAGUUAGCAAGAAAUCGUUUAAAUCAAACCAGAAAAUUCUCAUAAUUCUUAUGAGCCUGAGCCACAUCAACCAAAUGCUAGGAAUGUGAUAUCCAUGAUACGUCAGGAAUCCUUCCUGUUGCCAUCCCGGGGCUCCAGACAACUAGAUUUGUGAGGCCCUCGACACGUCAGGACUCCGUCUAGCCUGGAACAGUCAUUGGGAAUGUGAUGUCCUCGAUACGUCAGGCAUCCGCCCUUGGACGAACUCCGCAGCAACUCGAGCACAUCAGUGGAACUCAGAGAAAAAAAAAAACUAAAACAGUUUUUUAAAGUCGAAUCGAGACGAUUCGAGUCUAACGAUGGGGUAGUUACGGCCUGGCACCCCUAGCCGUAUUGCACCAACACUUGCAGACUUGUCAUACUAAGCAUUCUUUCUGAAAUAAUAAAUCAGUCAGUCAAGUUUCAUCCUUCAA
Molecule: long non-coding RNA, 2942 nt
Organism: Culex pipiens pallens (northern house mosquito)
Lineage: Eukaryota; Metazoa; Arthropoda; Insecta; Diptera; Culicidae
Exons: 2
Source: RefSeq, a predicted model, not a curated record